Molecule: microRNA precursor, 104 nt
Filed under: Marmota monax (woodchuck)
Lineage: Eukaryota; Metazoa; Chordata; Mammalia; Rodentia; Sciuridae
Source: RNAcentral
AAUUGAAUUACUGGGUCAUAUGAUAAGUUUAUAUUUGGUUUUUAUAAAAAACUGCCAAACUAUUUUCCAAAAGUCUGUACCAUUUCACAUUUCCCAUCAGUAAU